This 72-nucleotide transfer RNA is filed under the name Camelus bactrianus (Bactrian camel). It matches the Rfam family "tRNA". Rfam says of the family: Transfer RNA (tRNA) molecules are approximately 80 nucleotides in length. Their secondary structure includes four short double-helical elements and three loops (D, anti-codon, and T loops). The record is from Rfam by way of RNAcentral. RNAcentral also lists the same sequence under 2 other names. Lineage: Eukaryota; Metazoa; Chordata; Mammalia; Artiodactyla; Camelidae.
GAGGGUAUAGCUCAGUGGUAGAGCUCUUGCUUAGCAUACACAUGGUUCUGGGUCCAAUCCCCAGUACCUCCA